GCAACCUACCUUAUACUGGGGAAUAGCCCGAAGAAAUUCGGAUUAAUGCUCCAUGGUUUAUCGAUAUGGUUUCGUAUUGAUAAUAAAGAUUUAUCGGUAUAAGAUGGGCAUGCGUAUCAUUAGCUAGCUGGUGUGGUAACGGCAUACCAAGGCAACGAUGAUUAGGGGUCCUGAGAGGGAGAUCCCCCACACUGGUACUGAGACACGGACCAAACCUCUACGGGAGGCAGCAGUGAGGAAUAUUGGUCAAUGGAGGCAACUCUGAACCAGCCAUGCCGCGUGCAGGAUGACGGUCCUAUGGAUUGUAAACUGCUUUUGUACAGGAAGAAACCUCCCUACGAGUAGGGACUUGACGGUACUGUAAGAAUAAGGAUCGGCUAACUCCGUGCCAGCAGCCGCGGUAAUACGGAGGAUCCGAGCGUUAUCCGGAAUUAUUGGGUUUAAAGGGUUCGUAGGCGGCUUUGUAAGUCAGUGGUGAAAUUUCCUAGCUUAACUAGGACACUGCCAUUGAUACUGCAGAGCUUGAAUAAUAUGGAAGUAACUAGAAUAUGUAGUGUAGC
RNAcentral lists this ribosomal RNA (560 nucleotides) under Flavobacteria bacterium ZL-4. RNAcentral's name for it is "bacterial SSU rRNA". It matches the Rfam family "Bacterial small subunit ribosomal RNA", at positions 121 to 679 of the family's 1533-position model. Lineage: Bacteria; Pseudomonadati; Bacteroidota; Flavobacteriia. The record is from RNAcentral.